Molecule: ribosomal RNA, 497 nt
Filed under: uncultured bacterium
Lineage: Bacteria
Description: partial 16S ribosomal RNA
Rfam family: Bacterial small subunit ribosomal RNA
Source: RNAcentral
GAUGAACGCUGGCGGCGUGCCUAAUACAUGCAAGUCGAGCGAACGGACGAGAAGCUUGCUUCUCUGAUGUUAGCGGCGGACGGGUGAGUAACACGUGGAUAACCUACCUAUAAGACUGGGAUAACUUCGGGAAACCGGAGCUAAUACCGGAUGAUAUUUUGAACCGCAUGGUUCAAAAGUGAAAGACGGUCUUGCUGUCACUUAUAGAUGGAUCCGCGCUGCAUUAGCUAGUUGGUAAGGUAACGGCUUACCAAGGCAACGAUGCAUAGCCGACCUGAGAGGGUGGUCGGCCACACUGGAACUGAGACGCGGUCCAGACUCCUACGGGAGGGAGCAGUAGGGAAUCUUACGCAAUGGGCGAAAGCCUGACGGAGCAACCCCGCGUGGGUGAUGAAGGUCUUCGGAUCGUAAAACUCUGUUAUUAGGGAAGAACAUAUGUGUAAGUAACUGUGCACAUCUUGACGGUACCUAAUCAGAAAGCCACGGCUAACUACGUG